GCGACUAAGCGUACACGGUGGAUGCCCUGGCAGUCAGAGGCGAUGAAGGACGUGCUAAUCUGCGAUAAGCGCCGGUAAGGUGAUAUGAACCGUUAUAACCGGCGAUUUCCGAAUGGGGAAACCCAGUGUGAUUCGUCACACUAUCAUUAACUGAAUCCAUAGGUUAAUGAGGCGAACCGGGGGAACUGAAACAUCUAAGUACCCCGAGGAAAAGAAAUCAACCGAGAUUCCCCCAGUAGCGGCGAGCGAACGGGGAGGAGCCCAGAGCCUGAAUCAGCAUGUGUGUUAGUGGAAGCGUCUGGAAAGGCGCGCGAUACAGGGUGACAGCCCCGUACACAAAAGCGCAUGUGCUGUGAGCUCGAUGAGUAGGGCGGGACACGUGGUAUCCUGUCUGAAUAUGGGGGGACCAUCCUCCAAGGCUAAAUACUCCUGACUGACCGAUAGUGAACCAGUACCGUGAGGGAAAGGCGAAAAGAACCCCGGCGAGGGGAGUGAAAAAGAACCUGAAACCGUGU
This 515-nucleotide ribosomal RNA is filed under the name Salmonella enterica subsp. enterica serovar Newport. Its description in RNAcentral is "partial 23S ribosomal RNA". It matches the Rfam family "Bacterial large subunit ribosomal RNA", at positions 1 to 561 of the family's 2925-position model. Lineage: Bacteria; Pseudomonadati; Pseudomonadota; Gammaproteobacteria; Enterobacterales; Enterobacteriaceae. The record is from RNAcentral.